Molecule: ribosomal RNA, 537 nt
Filed under: Triticum aestivum (bread wheat)
Lineage: Eukaryota; Viridiplantae; Streptophyta; Magnoliopsida; Poales; Poaceae
Description: partial small subunit ribosomal RNA
Source: RNAcentral
AUGAGAUUCCCCUCGCCCAGGGAUGUAGACAAGGCAUGUUUCGCUGAAACCAUGAAUAUAAAAAGUUGUGGGGCUGUGAUAAGUCUUAAGAAGUGGUCUGAAUCUGUUGGUGCCAAGGGUGUACUUAACAUUGCUUGGGUCAAUGUUAGCAACAUCCCUUUGGACAAAAGGCAUGAAAUGAACAUUGCAUAUGUUGGAUCUUUGGUGGGUGUGACCUUGGAAAUUGAUAAAUCCACUGUAACAGACCUGAAUCGGUCAGAAUUAAGUUGGGUUGCAGAGAUGCUGAAAAUAUCCCAGGAAAAGCUGAGGGAGUGCUGGGUGACCACUUCUAUGAUUUCUUCUACUCUGUUGACAAGAUUCUGGUUAAAAAUCCUCCAAAAGAAAGUGUUACUAUGGCUCAGGUAUCUGACAAAGGUGUGUCACCAAAGAGAGCUAGGAUUAACGAAAAUAUUCGAAAUGCUGGACAGGGGGACUCCUCUUCUACUAUGGGGAACCUUUCUGUCCCACCAAACUCUGUUGGAAAUGGAGGUAAUAUGA